AGCGCUGAAUUGGGCUCAGGAGGGGGUACAACGGAUUGAGAAGUAUUGCUCAGGUCAUAUCCGUUUGGGCCUGAGGCCCAACCACUCAUAUAAGGCUCAGGAAGGCUCACAAGUUAAAUCAACUGAAACAAAUAAGGGGAUAGAAACACUCAUGAAAACACAUUCAUCGCUGAAAUAACUUCUACGAACAAAACCAGGUCGCAUUCUUCAAUCGACUCGAAUCGCGUCUUAACAUCAACACCACUGUGAUUUUGGGAUCAACAACAUGGAGGCGCGUCUUCGCAUCGUUGAAAUCGGCGCUUUCUUGCUCUCAUCUCGAAUAUCAAGAGGAAUUCAAAUCCAAAAUCAAAUCUUAAUCACCAUCACCAAAGUUCUGCUCAAUCUGGAUUCAUCUUUAUCUUCACCAAAUCAGAAUCGUGGAAUCCAUACCGAAGGCGAAUCAUACCCGUGCGCGACAUUGAACGACAUCAUGAAGUUCAAUGUGAUAAGAUAAGAAAGGGCAGAAGACCUACCCAAUCACUCUGAUGCAGUUUCUCCGGCGAAGAUGAUGGAUUGGAGAAGACGAGCUUGAAUCAGAUUUGAAAGUCAGAUUGCUUGUGGAAUGUCAAUUGGGCUUAAGGAUGACGUGCUAGUGCAAGUAUGUAAGGUUAAUUUGGUCAGAUCUCAUUAGUUUCUUAACAGACUUUGGAAAGUGUAUCGAUAAAUGUCAGAGAUUACAAGUAAGGGGUUGGAUACACAAAGGGAAGGGAUUAGCACCCAAAGUGUCCUAGAUACUCCUAGGGAUCCCUUUUUGUGUGCAACUGUUUUAGUUAAAAAAUAUGUUUGUUAAAAAAUAGAAUAAGGGGAUGGGAAAAGAAUGCAUUAUUUAUAUUUUAUGUU
Molecule: long non-coding RNA, 879 nt
Organism: Lathyrus oleraceus (garden pea)
Lineage: Eukaryota; Viridiplantae; Streptophyta; Magnoliopsida; Fabales; Fabaceae
Exons: 2
Source: RefSeq, a predicted model, not a curated record